Molecule: non-coding RNA, 181 nt
Filed under: Salmonella enterica subsp. enterica
Lineage: Bacteria; Pseudomonadati; Pseudomonadota; Gammaproteobacteria; Enterobacterales; Enterobacteriaceae
Description: 6S RNA
Rfam family: 6S / SsrS RNA
About the family: E. coli 6S RNA was the first non coding RNA to be sequenced, but its function was unknown until recently. It consists of 184 nucleotides that fold into an extended hairpin structure with a large single-stranded internal bulge.
Source: RNAcentral
GGUUCUCUGAGAUGUUUGCAAGCGGGCCAGUCCCCUGAGCCGAUAUUUCAUACCACAAGUGUGGCGCUCCCGCGGUUGGUAGGCAUGCUCGGUUCGUCCGAAGCUAACCCAAAACUGACGACAUUCACCUUCGAACAAGGUUCAAGGGUUACAGCCACUACGGCGGCAUCUCGGAAUUUCC